Long non-coding RNA from Neopsephotus bourkii (Bourke's parrot), 1385 nucleotides. RefSeq lists it as uncharacterized. The record is from RefSeq and is a predicted model, not a curated record. The transcript has 3 exons. NCBI's taxonomy places the organism in Eukaryota, Metazoa, Chordata, Aves, Psittaciformes, Psittacidae.
GCAGCGGCCGCACGUGCGGCUGCUGUCCUCCGACGGCAUCACGAGAGGCGACCGUUAGUUAGCCCAACGGCCGCUACCAACGGUCCCUCAGAGCGACUCACCGCAGUUGGCUGAGGUCUCUCGGCCGCCGAUGUCCUUGGUCGGGGAGCAGGGACCUGCAACUGUGGGCCGGGCUCCGCCGCGGUUGCUCUGGGCCAGCCACUCCACCGAGAAAGGCCUCUUCUCCAUCUCCCCCGCUGCUGCCGGUCCCCGCUCACUGAGGCCGUCCCAGCUCUGGGGGCAAACAUUUAAAGCACCUUCCGCGACGUGUUUUUUGAAAAGGCCGCAAAGCAUCGAGACAGAGGACAAAGGACUUCAUUGAGAGGUGCUUUAAUCUCCCUUUUCAGGUGAUUGUUACAUCCGCCUAAUCUCUAAACGCAGCAGUUAGCAAAACUCAAGGCUACCUGACCUGGCGCCAAGUUCAGUUGAGUGGUCUCUUGACCACGUAGCUCCUGGUAAUUGCAUCAUGGCCAGUGCUUUUUAUGCUGCCCAAGCUGGCCUCGACUCUCGAAUCACGCCGUGAUUUUCUAUCUUUAUCUCCCAGUAUAAAGGACAAGGAUUGAGACUGGUAACAAAGGAGGAUAUAGGGAGGCCCCUUUUAUGAGAUUUAAACUCAAAGCUGGAGCCCCUUUUGCCUGUUUGGUGCAAAGUUUGGAAUAAUCCUGCUGCCUUUCUAUCGGCAAAGGAGUGACUCAAAAUCCAGAUAGUUCUCCAGAUAAUCAUCUAGAUAAGAAGUGUGUGAUGAAUCUCUCUUCAACUUCACCAGCUCCCACAUUUGAAGUUCAAGCAUCAAGAGAAAGAAAAGUGUGGAUAUAUGAAACCAGAACACCCUGAAGGCUUAAAUAUGGAAGUAAAAUCAGACUGAAGACUAAAGAAAUUGGUAAUUUUUUGUUUCAUUCUUGCAUUUCUUUGGGACUGGCUUAUUUUUCUAAGCCACCUGGGAUAGCAGAUGGUGCCAGCAUACUUUUGAACCUAGUUAAUUUUUUGCAUGUUUUUGCCUAGCAUUGUGUCUCACAAGGGUCUGGUUUGGUUCCUAUCCUUAUGCGUAAAGGACAGUUUGUUUUAUCAGGAGUUUGAGGGCAAAAUAGCCUGAGUUAUUAUUAGGAUAAUCUAUAUCCAGUUGCAACCAAGGAAGACAUGCAACUGUUUUCCAUUUAUAUGACUGAAUUACGUGAUAUAGGUGAGAUUAGCCAAGACAGAUUCCCUGCAGAUUUAACUUAUCAUGAUUGGUUCAGGCAGGAGGUCUGAAGAAAGUGUUAUUUCCCUAGGCCUUUUGAAUUGUGAUGAGGUACCAUACCCGCAGGGCAGCAGGUUGUGCAGUCUACAUGCUGUUAUUGACCAGAGGC